GGGUAACCUGCCUGUAAGACUGGGAUAACUCCGGGAAACCGGGGCUAAUACCGGAUGGUUGUCUGAACCGCAUGGUUCAGACAUAAAAGGUGGCUUCGGCUACCACUUACAGAUGGACCCGCGGCGCAUUAGCUAGUUGGUGAGGUAACGGCUCACCAAGGCGACGAUGCGUAGCCGACCUGAGAGGGUGAUCGGCCACACUGGGACUGAGACACGGCCCAGACUCCUACGGGAGGCAGCAGUAGGGAAUCUUCCGCAAUGGACGAAAGUCUGACGGAGCAACGCCGCGUGAGUGAUGAAGGUUUUCGGAUCGUAAAGCUCUGUUGUUAGGGAAGAACAAGUGCCGUUCAAAUAGGGCGGCACCUUGACGGUACCUAACCAGAAAGCCACGGCUAACUACGUGCCAGCAGCCGCGGUAAUACGUAGGUGGCAAGCGUUGUCCGGAAUUAUUGGGCGUAAAGGGCUCGCAGGCGGUUUCUUAAGUCUGAUGUGAAAGCCCCCGGCUCAACCGGGGAGGGUCAUUGGAAACUGGGGAACUUGAGUGCAGAAGAGGAGAGUGGAAUUCCACGUGUAGCGGUGAAAUGCGUAGAGAUGUGGAGGAACACCAGUGGCGAAGGCGACUCUCUGGUCUGUAACUGACGCUGAGGAGCGAAAGCGUGGGGAGCGAACAGGAUUAGAUACCCUGGUAGUCCACGCCGUAAACGAUGAGUGCUAAGUGUUAGGGGGUUUCCGCCCCUUAGUGCUGCAGCUAACGCAUUAAGCACUCCGCCUGGGGAGUACGGUCGCAAGACUGAAACUCAAAGGAAUUGACGGGGGCCCGCACAAGCGGUGGAGCAUGUGGUUUAAUUCGAAGCAACGCGAAGAACCUUACCAGGUCUUGACAUCCUCUGACAAUCCUAGAGAUAGGACGUCCCCUUCGGGGGCAGAGUGACAGGUGGUGCAUGGUUGUCGUCAGCUCGUGUCGUGAGAUGUUGGGUUAAGUCCCGCAACGAGCGCAACCCUUGAUCUUAGUUGCCAGCAUUCAGUUGGGCACUCUAAGGUGACUGCCGGUGACAAACCGGAGGAAGGUGGGGAUGACGUCAAAUCAUCAUGCCCCUUAUGACCUGGGCUACACACGUGCUACAAUGGACAGAACAAAGGGCAGCGAAACCGCGAGGUUAAGCCAAUCCCACAAAUCUGUUCUCAGUUCGGAUCGCAGUCUGCAAACUCG
This 1210-nucleotide ribosomal RNA is filed under the name Bacillus sp. (in: firmicutes). RNAcentral's name for it is "bacterial SSU rRNA". It matches the Rfam family "Bacterial small subunit ribosomal RNA", at positions 119 to 1314 of the family's 1533-position model. The record is from RNAcentral. Lineage: Bacteria; Bacillati; Bacillota; Bacilli; Caryophanales; Bacillaceae.